Molecule: long non-coding RNA, 853 nt
Filed under: Homo sapiens (human)
Lineage: Eukaryota; Metazoa; Chordata; Mammalia; Primates; Hominidae
Description: HSALNT0396101
Source: RNAcentral
GCUCUUCUCCUUCCUGCCACCUUGUGAAGAAGGUAUCUGGCUUCCCCUUUGCCUUCUGUUAUAAUUGUAAAUUUCCUGAGGCCUCCCCAGCCAUGUUGAACUGGUCACGAAGGUGUGUUCCAAGGCCACAUCUCCAACCUCACAGAGAGGACAGGAAGUGAUCAGUACCCCAACUAGCAAGAGUGGCCCGUUCAUUGGCCGAGGUUCUUGAGGAUAGAGUGGGAGGUGGGAGCGUCCCUCGUGCUGCCUUCAUUUUUCCUACCCUCAGCUCAGGGGUCUGUGCUAGAGGAAGACACACGAAGGCUACUGUGCCCCCACCACAAGAGAGGGAAACAGGGAGACGCGUGGGUCUGGAGCCAAGCGUAUCUCUCUGUACCCAUCGCACACGAAUUUGAAUCAUCUGCUCUUUGGAAUCGCCUACACCCUGCUGCACCCACGAUGUGGCUGUAACUCCAUUAAAGAAUUGAAUAUCAUCUUCCACGGAAUCUCUGUCUGCACAAAAGGGGCACAUUUAAUUUUCUGUUUUUUAAAUAAAGGUUUAAAAAAUCCUUUUGCAAAGCGAUGAUAGAGGCACGUGGUUCGAAAUUGACAUGCACAGGAGAACAGACCAUGAAAAGUCUCUCUCCCACCCCUUCCUCCCAGCCAAAAGUUUCCUCCCACUCCAUGCCAAUGACUGUUAACUGUUUCCUGUGUCCCCAAAGAGAUGUUCUUCUAUGUGUGUCAAAGCAAAGUAUAUUUUCACUAUUCUUCCUCUUUGGUUUAUGCUGCACUCAUUUUUCUGCGUCUGGCUGUUCUCGACAGGAGUAGCAGGGGCUCUUGGUGGCCUGCCCAUAACUCUGUGGCCCUUGUCAGU